UACGUAGGGGGCUAGCGUUGUCCGGAUUUAUUGGGCGUAAAGAGCGUGUAGGCGGCCAGGUAGGUCUGCUGUGAAAACUCGAGGCUCAACCUCGAGACGUCGGCGGAAACCAUCUGGCUAGAGUCCGGUAGGGGAGCGUGGAAUUCCCGGUGUAGCGGUGAAAUGCGCAGAUAUCGGGAGGAACACCAGUGGCGAAGGCGGCGCUCUGGGCCGGAACUGACGCUGAGGAGCGAAAGCGUGGGUAGCAAACAGG
Molecule: ribosomal RNA, 253 nt
Filed under: uncultured bacterium
Lineage: Bacteria
Description: partial 16S ribosomal RNA
Rfam family: Bacterial small subunit ribosomal RNA
Source: RNAcentral